This 72-nucleotide transfer RNA is filed under the name Polyipnus polli. RNAcentral's name for it is "tRNA-Thr". It matches the Rfam family "tRNA". From Rfam's summary of the family: Transfer RNA (tRNA) molecules are approximately 80 nucleotides in length. Their secondary structure includes four short double-helical elements and three loops (D, anti-codon, and T loops). Lineage: Eukaryota; Metazoa; Chordata; Actinopteri; Stomiiformes; Sternoptychidae. The record is from RNAcentral.
GCUCUAGUAGCUCAACGUAAGAGCACCGGUCUUGUAAUCCGGGGGUCGAAGGUUAAACUCCUCCCUAGCGCU